RNAcentral lists this long non-coding RNA (255 nucleotides) under Gouania willdenowi (blunt-snouted clingfish). RNAcentral's name for it is "lncRNA (ENSGWIG00000017509.1)". Lineage: Eukaryota; Metazoa; Chordata; Actinopteri; Blenniiformes; Gobiesocidae. The record is from RNAcentral.
UGGACACCAACAGUUCAGGAAGUUGUUGAUCUUUGAAGCUAUAACUGCUCCGUCGACUUCAACGCCGUGGAAGGACUCACUUGUGAGACUACCUAACCCCGCUGUGUCAACUGUUGCUCCCGAGUCACUGUCUGAGAGGUGAACCACUGCUGAAACAAUAAGUUCCCACAGUGGACGACGCUGCCACAUACAGAGCCUCACCUGCCGACCAACACUUCAUGUGUAUUGCCUUUGUUAAUUCCAUUGUUUUUGCAG